GGAUAAACACUUCCCAAGAUAAAGUCAUUUUGCCUUUGAUUAAUAAAGAACAUCCUGAGAAAAGAAUUGGAACUGUGCCAGCAUGUGCGGCAGAAUUGCAUCUUCUUUGACUGGAUGACCAGUACCUUCUGCCUUUAAAAGGGAGAACCACCAUGGCCAAGGGGGYACAUCAACUACCUGCAGGCUUCGUAUCUGGCAGCUCCUCAGACUCCCCUCUGCUAGGAAAGCUAACUGCAAAGAUUGUAAUGAACUGCUGAAAGGCUUCCAGGCAAGAAAUGCUCCAACUUUGA
This 290-nucleotide long non-coding RNA is filed under the name Dromaius novaehollandiae (emu). RNAcentral describes it as "lncRNA (ENSDNVG00000012721.1)". The record is from RNAcentral. Lineage: Eukaryota; Metazoa; Chordata; Aves; Casuariiformes; Dromaiidae.